Molecule: transfer RNA, 74 nt
Filed under: Actinomycetota bacterium
Lineage: Bacteria; Bacillati; Actinomycetota
Description: tRNA-Ile
Rfam family: tRNA
About the family: Transfer RNA (tRNA) molecules are approximately 80 nucleotides in length. Their secondary structure includes four short double-helical elements and three loops (D, anti-codon, and T loops).
Source: RNAcentral
GGGGGCGUGGGUUAGUUGGUCAGAGCAGGCGACUCAUAAUCGCCCGGCCGCUGGUUCGAGUCAAGCCGCCCCCA